Molecule: ribosomal RNA, 254 nt
Filed under: uncultured bacterium
Lineage: Bacteria
Description: partial 16S ribosomal RNA
Rfam family: Bacterial small subunit ribosomal RNA
Source: RNAcentral
UACGUAGGUGGCAAGCGUUGUCCGGAAUUACUGGGCGUAAAGGGCUCGUAGGCGGCCAACUAAGUCAGACGUGAAAUCCCUCAGCUUAACUGGGGAACUGCGUCUGAUAGUGGAUGGCUUGAGUUUGGGAGAGGGAUGCGGAAUUCCAGGUGUAGCGGUGAAGUGCGUAGAUAUCUGGAGGAACACCGGUGGCGAAGGCGGCAUCCUGGACCAACACUGACGCUGAGUGAGCGAAAGCCAGGGGAGCAAACGGG